Molecule: long non-coding RNA, 2667 nt
Organism: Oncorhynchus tshawytscha (Chinook salmon)
Lineage: Eukaryota; Metazoa; Chordata; Actinopteri; Salmoniformes; Salmonidae
Source: Ensembl
CCAGAACAGACUGGGGGCCACGACAACUGAACGUCAGUGAGGGUCAUAACCAGAACAGACUGGGGGCCACGACAACUGAACGUCAGUGAGGGUCAUAACCAGAACAGACUGGGGGCCACGACAACUGAACGUCAGUGAGGGUCAUAACUAAAAAGGCAUUGUGCCAAAAGAAAGUAAAAGAGACAUCUGGAUAGAUCUGCUAGUUCCAUUUUCAGAUGGAAAAAAUGAAUUCAGGUUCAAUUGAAUAAAGGCGUUAAUUUCAGGGACUUGUCCAAAACUAAAAACAUGAUUUAAAAGUGUUUCACGUUCAUUCUGACAAUAUUUGUGGUUCUGAACGGUUUCCAACAGUCUGACCGACACGUAGCCUGAAAUCCAGUCAUCUUUGUGCUAACAUUCCACUCCUUGCCAAUCCUUGUCAUGCCAAACAGUGGCAAGGAGUGGAAUGUUAAGACAUCCUGGAUUCCAGGCUACCCAUCAGGCAGGCUGACAGAACAGUGAGGGUGUAUCUUAGCAACGAGGGAACAUGAACUGAAUUAUACCAUUUUAUUACUAAAAACAAAAGGCUUCAUCAUGUUUCAUCUGAAAACAGGCUUUACAUGAGCCUACCCACACGUUAGAAAAAUAGAGUUGCAGUUAGGAAUAUGAUGUAUAUCAUAGCAAAAAUAUACGUGGACCUUUCUCUGUGUGGGGAGGCAGGUAGCCUAGUGGUUAGAGUGGAGGGGCGGCAGGGUAGCCUAGUGGUUAGAGUGGAGGGGCGGCAGGGUAGCCUAGUGGUUAGAGUGGAGGGGCGGCAGGGUAGCCUAGUGGUUAGAGUGGAGGGGCGGCAGGGUAGCCUAGUGGUUAGAGUGGAGGGGCGGCAGGGUAGCCUAGUGGUUAGAGUGGAGGGGCGGCAGGGUAGCCUAGUGGUUAGAGGGGAGGGGCGGCAGGGUAGCCUAGUGGUUAGAGAGGAGGGGCGGCAGGGUAGCCUAGUGGUUAGAGAGGAGGGGCGGCAGGGUAGCCUAGUGGUUAGAGAGGGGCGGCAGGGUAGCCUAGUGGUUAGAGCGUUGAGCUAGUCACCGAAAGGUUACAAGUUCAAAUCCCUGAGCUGACAAGGUACAAAUCUGUUGUUCUGCCCCUGAACAAGGCAGUUAACCCACUGUUCCCCAGUAGGCCGUCAUUGAAAAUAAGAAUUUGUUCUUAACUGACCUUGUUAAACAAAGGUAAUAAAAAAAAAAUGGGUCCUACUUCUCAGGGCUCAGUCCUACUUCUCAGGGCUCAGUCCUACUUCUCAGGGCUCAGUCCUACUUCUCAGGGCUCAGUCCUACUUCUCAGGGCUCAGUCCUACUUCUCAGGGCUCAGUCCUACUUCUCAGGGCUCAGUCCUACUUCUCAGGGCUCAGUCCUACUUCUCAGGGCUCAGGGGUCAGUCCUACUUCUCAGGGCUCAGGGGUCAGUCCUAGUUCUCAGGGUCAACAUACUGCCAUCUAACAGGCUCUGUCCAACACACAGAGGAGGUUCAACAUACUGCCAUCUAUCCUGACAGGCUCUAUCCAACACACAACAUACUGCCAUCUAUCCUGACAGGAUCUAUCCAACACACAACAUACUGCCAUCUAUCCUGACAGGAUCUGUCCAACACACAACAUACUGCCAUCUAUCCUGACAGGCUCUGUCCAACACACAACAUACUGCCAUCUAUCCUGACAGGCUCUGCCCAACACACAACAUACUGCCAUCUAUCCAACACACAACAUACUACCAUCUAUCCAACACACAACAUACUGCCAUCUAUCCUGACAGGCUCUGUCCAACACACCACAUACUACCAUCUGUCCAACACACAACAUACUGCCAUCUAUCCUGACAGGCUCUGUCCAACACACAACAUACUGCCAUCUAUCCAACACACAACAUACUGCCAUCUAUCCUGACAGGAUCUGUCCAACACACAACAUACUGCCAUCUAUCCUGACAGGAUCUGUCCAACACACAACAUACUGACAUCUAUCCUGACAGGAUCUGUCCAACACACAACAUACUGACAUCUAUCCUGACAGGAUCUGUCCAACACACAGAGUGGUGUUGUUUUUCUACUGCUUAUGAAGCUGCUGGUGACUGGUUGUAUUCUUGGAUUCUACAUGAAAUGCUUCACUUAGGCUAGACUGGUCUAUGUUAGAGCAGAAACUGUGUGGCAGUGUUUACUAGGGUCUUCCCAGACAUACUGUAGUAGAUUCCUUUUGUGGUCCACAUUCAGGAUUAAACAGAAGUCUAAACAAACGGAUGGAUCUGGCUUAAGACGGCACUACGCUAGUUUUCUGAGACACACAAUUAUUCAAGGACGUUACCAGCACAAAGAACAACUAUAAAACAAACGGUUUGUAGUUCCAUCUGUACAAGAGACAGAAACACUGAAGUUAAAUUAUUCCUCUCAUUUAGCUCUCCCUCAACAUACUGUUCCACUGUCUGUUCCAUCAACCAGAGUUCAAUAACAGAACUAUUCUCUGGACCGGGACACAGAACCACCGUCUGUUCCAUCAACCAGAGUUCAAUAACAGAACUAUUCUCUGGACCGGGACACAGAACCACUGUCUGUUCCAUCAACCAGAGUUCAAUAACAGAACUAUACUCUGGACCGGGACACAGAACCACCGUCUGUUCCAUCAACCAGAGUUCAAUAACAGAACUAUUC